CGCGCGCCUGGGCGGUUGGAAGGCGGUUUUUUCCCUCGCGGUUCGGUCGAGUCUCAACGGCGACCGGGUCGACGCUGCGGUGGAAUGGAAAAGGGGAUGUGAGGAGUGGAAAACAACUAGAAAAUGUUAAUAAUUACAGAGAACUACGUUCCACUCCAAGGCAGCCACAAUGCAAGAAACUGGAACAACCCAAUUUUGAAAAAAGCCAAAAGCCACUGCACAGAGAAAGAGAGAGAAAAAAAAACAUUAUGCAGACAACAGAAGUAAGCCAACAGCUUUCUGAGCUAGUCCCAAAUCUGCUCCAGGAGCAGCCAGAGUUGGCCCAGGCCCUGGUCCCCAGUACAUGACGCUGGCGUGGCAGAAACCUGCAACAGCCAGAUCAGUUCACAGCUUUGGUGCUGAAGGAAUAAACAUUUGUGGGAGGGCGAGAAAUCAGUCUGACCCUCGCCUCUGUACCCAACAUUUGGGCCAAAGUUUGAAUUGUCCAAGCACUGAGUAAUGUGACGUUCUAGGACUUGGAUCUCGGGGCCGCAGUAUACUUGGGCUAUCCAGCCCGAAGCCAUUCCUGAUCUGACCAAAUUGGCUCGGUGAUUCAACCUCACCCGGAUUAGGUGAACCAGCAGCCAAACUUUUCGGCAUUGAUUCCUCUCCAUUAUCACUUAGUCCAUCUAUGGUGGUGAUACAAACUCUGUCUGCAUCACCUGCUUCUCGAUCACAUUGUACCUUACAAUGCCCCAGCAUGGCUCAUCCCGUGAACCAGCCUCAUCUCCGCCUGCCUCCUCACUCUGUGGCGAUAUGCUUCAGAAAAGAUGUUAUAAGUAAUGUUUUUAGUCAUUUCUCUUGCCUUAUGAUUUACCAGUAAACCAGGGGUCACCAACCAUUUUUGCACCAUGGACUGGUUUAAUAUUGACAAUAUUCUUGCGGACCAGGUGUUAAUCACAACUGGAAUACAGGUGAUAAGUCAACUAUAAGUCACUUAUAAGUGACGAAUAAACUCAAAAAAAGUUUGGCUGGAGGAAUGAUUUUAAGUAGAUCUCAGCGAGAUAGCCACUCUGCUACUUACGAAACCCUGAGCCUGAAUGAGGUCGUCUGCGAAUAUUUAUCACUGUAUUUCCCACGAACAUUUGGUGUGCUAAACAGGUUUAGAGGUGGUGCCCAUUUGUCUGUGCUCCGGAACAGUGGCAACGGCACUUCUGGCUGGCUGCCCCAGGCCAUCAGUGAUCCCUGGCGCUAAGGCGACUGAUGACCUCGCGGGCAUUCAAUUUCAACAGUGGGUAUGACAGAGAAUGAGGAAAGGUGCAGCUGACUCAUAUCGUUUCAUAUCACCAAAUCAUAUCAUUUCCCCGUGGCCCAGUGGCACAUGCUUUGCGGCCUGGUGGUUGGGGACCACUGCAGUAAACUGUCACACAUCUUCGGUAGCUCAAUCUUAAAGUGGAAAUGUCUUUUGUUUAAAAUAUAUGAGCUGUUCCUUAAGAAUACAGGACAUUUGUAUUGAACUUGAAGCGAUUACUGUAUAAUUCAGUUCAGACGUGAAAUCCAGUGAGUGGCUGUUAGGUGGGCAAAAACACCUUGUUAUUGAUAGAGGUUAGUGCAGAAAGGCUGUUCUGGUUCAACCUGACAGGAAGGUGUAGUAACUAAAAUAAUCACACAUUACAAAAGUAGUGUGCAGAACAGCAUCUCUGAACGUAGAAUACAUUAAAUGAAGUGGUUGGGAUAUCAGCAGAAGACCAUGAACAUGCACUGAUUGCCAAUUUUCGGGUACAGGAGGCCACUGGGUGUAUUCUUUAUAAAAUAUUUGAUAUAACAAUCUCUCAGUUUGUGUCUCACACACACAACUAAUUUAUACUACCAUUUUUUUUGCCUUCAUCCGCUUCACAAGAAUUGGAAUUCCAACCUGUGUUUUGCAAGCUCAAGGGACUCCUUUUUCAAAUUCCUUGAUUUCACUACCCUAUAUUCGGGCACCGGUUUCCUAACUGGAAAGCUUUGUCGCCUCUAUGUCACUCCCUUCCACUUCUCUGCUGGAUUCUUGGCUUUUCAAGUUCCUCGUGACUGUACCCUUUUGUGACUUGACCUCUCCCUCGGUUGCUUCCUAUAUCCCCAGCUGACCUCACCACCACCGAUUCCAUUCUCACAUUCAGUUGCACCUUUCGCUCACCGACUUGCACAUUAGUGGUAUCACCUGACCCACCUCCCAGUCUCUUCAUCUCAGCUCUUGCUCUUCUCGGACCAUUCCAUUUUUUCUUCACGCUUUUCACACCGUCAUUGCCAGGCUCAGGCCUUCCAACUGCCAGUUCAAGAGGUUUGAUUCCCUGUUCCUUUCCUCUGUCACCUGGUCUCAUAAUAGCCCCUAAAAUCUGGCUCCCAGAUUCCUUGCUCUUAGCACUGAGUAACUUGCCCUCAGAUCCAGUCUACCUUCACCAGAUGCAGGUUCCGUACUUCCUGAUCUGGUUCCCUCUCCCAGAUCCAGGCUUGCAGCCUCCAGCUCCACUGCCUUCAUUUUCAUGUCCAGUAAUCCAGUUCAUGCUCUCCAAUCUCCCAGCUGGGCCAUGCCAGUUUUGGGCUUGGUUGCCCAGUAUUGGCACCCUUCCUGAUGAGCAUCUGGUGGGCCCAACAACCAAAGAUAAUGGCAGCCCAGUCUGUUGACUGUCCAAGGAUUACCAAUGAGUAGACAAAUCCAUUGGUCAAGUGUGAGGCUGCUUGCCUGUUCCAUGUGAGCUGUAAAUGAUAUUCCAGAGACAAAGUAAUAAGAUAUUGCUUUUUCUGGUAAAGGGAAGCAGAGAUCUGAGGAAGGGGCUGUUUUAGGGACAGCUGUUUUGCGGUUGUCUGCAAUGCUGCAGUUAUCAGCAUUGAACAGUUCUGUAGUACAAUCAGAUGGUCUCAUGACUUCACAACCUGCCUUAUGAUCUUGCACGUGACUACAAGAAAAUGUGUGGAUACAGCUUGGCAUGUCACAGAAGUCAACCUUUCAUUUCUACUUCUACAGUUGUCACAGCCUCAGUGAAGUAGCCAGCAGAAUCAAAGGCCUCCUCCCAUACCCCACAUUCUUUCUAAUCCUCUUAUGUAUUAGCGCUGUUUUGCAGUUUAGCCAUAGCAGGAGGGUGGUUCUGUUGGGUUUCACUGACCUGUACUUUUAAAAUGACAUAAAGGCUGCAGUUUUCUGCAGUGGGGUCAUCUCUCAGAAAUAGCUAAACUGCAGAGAGGUGAGAACGUGUGAAAUUUACUAUCUACUUAUACUAUCGCUACCUACUACAACUUUCAUUAAGUCUCAGAUACAGUACUUGUAUUUUGAAAGGAAGUUCAAUUCACUUGGCAACUACAUGCUUUUUAUUGCCACACAGAAUUUGCAUUUGUAAAAGCCUUUUUUUAAAAAAAAUGUGAUGUGUAUCUUAAGAAUGGCAUAACAAGCUAGUUUUUUCCAUGCAUAUUCAAUAUUAAUACUUUUUUCAUGUGAGAUUUUGCCAGUGAGGGAUUUUUUUUUACCCAAAAGCCCAAGGUGAAACUGUAUUUGAAAAAGUCUAGGGCUAUUUCUUGGAAAAAAAUAUUCUGUUGGAGAAUAUAAUGGCUUGGGUAACUGGUGGAGCUGCUUGGAUGGUAUGAAGAUGCAGGAUUCAUUGCUCUUAUAAAAAAAAAUUUCUUUGCCUGAUGCUUUUUGCUUGCACUGUGUCUUCCACUAUCAGCAUUUGGUUGCAAAAUAUUGAGAUUUACAUGACACCCUUGCAUUUGUAAUUAUAGCUGUCAACUUCAUCAAAUCAAACAACUUUAAUAAGAAAAUUUUGAACAGCAAAUAAUGAUACAGAGAUGGGAUAUUUAUCCAAAGAUAAUUGUAUUUGUUGUGUUGUUGCACUUUGGGAUAGUAUUCAAGCAUUUCUAUGUGAUGAACAACUUGGAUAGCAAAUUAUCACUGUGCACCUUGGCCCAGAGACCUGCUGAAGAUGCAUAUACCAAAUCGGGUGGUGGAACCAUUUAGAGUGAAUGUGAAAUAAUUACCCCAAACUGUAAGAACGUCCUAUUGAGCUGCAGAGUGAUUUAACAGCUCAAACAAAAUUCAAAUGCAGCAAGCAAAAUUUCUGGAUAACCAUUGACAUUCACAAUAAGUUUCCUCAGCUCUAGGAGAAAACAAAAUUGUUUUAAUUGAAUUUCCCACCUUUACAAUUUUAAUUGAAUUUCCCAGUCCUGCCAAAGGGUUUUGGCCAGAAACGUCAACUGUACUCUUUAUCUAGUUUGUGUUGCUCAGAUUUCAAGCAUCUGCGGAUUUUCUCGUUUGUGAUUGGAUUCUCACUUUUUGUCUAGUUGAAUGUCGUUUUAGUCAAGCUCUUCACCUGGUAUCAAAGCCCUGUAACUGUCUUGAUGUUGUGAAAAGAGAUCUUCAAUUACCUUUAACCAAGUUGCAACCAGAUAUUCAAAAAUUCACUAGUUUGCAUCAGCACAAGGAGCUCACUAAAUACACAAAGUAACAAUAUUAAGCACCACUUUGUUGCUUGGAAAAAUAUUACAUAGACAGUAUUAUAAAUAAGGUAUACUAUUAGAGCUUUGAAAUAGUUUUAUUUUUGACAUACAGCUGUAACAUUAUAUUUAACAAACUUAAAAACAAUUAUUGAUUGUAGAUUAACAUAUUUGGUACGGUUGAUAAAAAGCUUCAGCAACUAAUGCAGAUUGGGUAGGAUGAGGGUCACAGACUUAAGUUAAAUUCACAAGUGGGUCUCAAGCAGAGAAAGGUUGACAACCACAGCCUUAUGGUCUUAUGUCAGGAAACGUGACUUGGAGGAGAAGUGAUUCCCAUGUCCCUGUUGCUUUUGACCUCCUACAUGGCAUGGAGGCCAUUGUUGGAGUUGACAAUGGGCGAUGUAGUACCCUUAGUCCCUGGCUUAACUCUCUCGCCCACUCCACAAACAAGACCUGUCCAAGCGCUCUGUCUUAUUUAAGCUGGAGUUUCUCCUCUUGAGUUUGGGGAGACCAUAGGUCCAUCACUGACAUCAUCCAUAGAUCCAUCACUGACAUCACUGGCCUCCAGGUUCAGUUUCUUCCUCAAUUUAAAAGCAAUGGUGAAGCUGCAUCAGUGGGCAUCUCUAUGGCAUUCCGCUGCAGAGGAUCAGUUUGGGGAGAGAGUAAAACAGCAGAGGUCAGAACGAGAUUCUGCUGCUGCUGGAAAUCCAAAGUAACACAGAAUUAUUUAUUGUUGCUUAAAUGGAAGGAUGCCACUCUGCCUUCUCAUAGGUUACAUGAUGUUAAGUCUUGCUUAAAUUUAGAGAAGAUUUGCUGUUCAAUUUCUGAACCUGGACAAGAUUUUUUAACAUCGUGGGGACCUUUUUUGAAUUACUUUCAAAAUCUUUGAUUUGCUAUUAAGCACAGAUGUUGGCUAAUAUGUUUUGCUAUAUGUUAAGGGUUUUUUUAAAACCGAACAGCUGUUUUUUUUUUUGUUUCUGGUAGUGGGUUUAAAUUUUUUAUAUAGUAAAAUUAUUUAUUUUCAAUUUUAUGUUUAAAUGUAAUCUAUAGGGAUAUGGGGUAAUUACACCUCUUCUGUGAUUUCAAUAUAUUGUAAUCGAUAUAUAUCUUACUGUACUCUGUAUUUGUUUAUGUAAGAAAUUAAUAAAAAUAUUGAAAAAGAAAGAAAUACAGUGCAUAACAGGUCCUUCCAGACCAAUACGCCUCACUGCCCAGCAGCCUGCCUACUUAAUAAUAGCCUAACCACAGGACAAUUUAGAAUAAUCAAUUAACCAACUUACUGAUACAUCUUUGGACUGUGAGAGGAAACCCAUGCAGUAACAGAGGGAAAAUAUAAACUCCUUACCAGAAUUGAACUCAAUAUUCUGAUGCCCCAAGCUGCAAAAGUGUUGUGCUAACUGAUCUGCUGCCAUAGAAACAUAGAAAACAUACAGCACAAUACAGGCCCUUUGGCCCAUAAUGCUGUGCCAAAUGUACUUAUUUUAGAAAUUACCUAGGGUUACCCUUAGCCCUCUAUUUUUUCUAAGCUCCAUGUACCUAUCCAGGAGUGCAGAUGUACUAUUUAAAAGGUGGGUCUCAUUACAGCUGCAAGAAUUAUAUUGCAAAGCUGGAAAAAACCCAGAUAUCCCACUGUGAGGGAAUGGACUGAGGAAAUGUUUAAGAUUUCAUCAUAUGAACAUAUGUUGGGAAGUAUUAACAGUGAGGGAAAAAUGCAAGAUGCAUGGGAUCAAUUUUGGUUGUAUGUUAAUUUAAACUUAAAUUAGAUAUUUUUUCUGAUUCUUAGUUUUAUAUGUUUUCCUGUCAUGGGAUGGCUGUGUAAAUAUGCUGUACUGUUCUGUAAAAUAAGAAUUAAUAAUAAAAAUUUAAAUUACGAAAGAAA
Hypanus sabinus (Atlantic stingray) is the source of this 6322-nucleotide long non-coding RNA. RefSeq lists it as uncharacterized. The transcript has 2 exons. NCBI's taxonomy places the organism in Eukaryota, Metazoa, Chordata, Chondrichthyes, Myliobatiformes, Dasyatidae. The record is from RefSeq and is a predicted model, not a curated record.